Molecule: ribosomal RNA, 546 nt
Filed under: Saitoella coloradoensis
Lineage: Eukaryota; Fungi; Ascomycota; Saitoellomycetes; Saitoellales; Saitoellaceae
Description: SSU rRNA
Rfam family: Bacterial small subunit ribosomal RNA
Source: RNAcentral
UCAGCAGUCAAGAAUAUUAGUCAAUGAUCGAAAGAUUGAAGCAGCUAUCAAGAAGGAUGAAUAUAGUAUAUAUAUUAAAGUCCCUUUCUUAAUGAGAAUAAAGAUGUUAGUUAAGAAAGAAGUACCGACCAAGAUUCGUGCCAGCAGUUGCGGUAAUACGAAGGGUACGAACGUUAAUCAUAAUUACUAGGUUUAAAGGAUACGUAGACUGUUUCUUACAAAAGGAAACUUGAGUCAAAUAGAUGGUUCUGUAACUAAUCAAGUACCGAUUAAAUGGGUUGAUAUGAUUAGGAACGCAAAUGGUGAAAGCUAGAAUCAAGGUAAUGACUGACGUUGAGGUAUGAAGGCUAGGGAAGUGAAAAGGAUUAGAUACCCUUAUAAUCCUAGCUGUAAACGAUAUUGAUUAGUAACUAGAGUAUUCUUUAGUUAUUAUGAAGAAAUUCUUAAAUCAAUCACCUGAAUAGUAUAGUCGCAAGACUGAAACUUAAACCAUUUGAGAGUUGUUAUCAGCAGAGUGAAGUUUGUUAUUUAAUUCGAUAAUCCGCA